Molecule: ribosomal RNA, 234 nt
Filed under: uncultured Actinomycetales bacterium
Lineage: Bacteria; Bacillati; Actinomycetota; Actinomycetes; Actinomycetales
Description: partial 16S ribosomal RNA
Rfam family: Bacterial small subunit ribosomal RNA
Source: RNAcentral
UGGCGAACGGGUGAGUAACACGUGGGUGAUCUGCCUGCACUUAGGGAUAAGCUUGGGAAACUGGGUCUAAUACCGGAUAGGACCAUCGUUCAGUGUCGGUGGUGGAAAGUUUUUUCGGUGUGGGAUGAGCUCGCGGCCUAUCAGCUUGUUGGUGGGGUAAUGGCCUACCAAGGCGUCGACGGGUAGCCGGCCUGAGAGGGUGUACGGCCACAUUGGGACUGAGAUACGGCCCAG